AGCACAAGGAGUAGGAUUAUGCAAAUCAACAUGAUUAUGAAAAGACAAAGGAAAAACUGGAGGUCAUCUCCAGCCGUGAUUGGGCCAUCAUUCUGAUUUGCUGAUAUGGAUUUGAAUAACACCUCUCUGACCAAUGAGGACUCCUCCACAGUAUUCUUUACACAGGAGAGGAAAAAAAAACCCAACUCAACAUUGAAAUCGGGCUAACCUCCUCUUUUAAUAACUCUGACAUGGAAGAGGGAAAAACCCAGAAGGAACAAAUUUGAAAAGUUUACUUCAGGUUGAGAAAUUCUAAUUCCACCACUUUUGUGUGUGUGUUGUUGUUUGACAGACAUGACAGCCAUCUCCUCAUUAUUAUGGAAAAUAUAGGGUUGGUGGUAAUUACUAUCUGAAUAUGAAUGGGAGCAGAAGUGGGCAUAGCCUGCACUGGCCUUUCUUUGACAAGAGCCCAAAGGCUCUGGUGUAGUGGAAGAAUGACAUGUAUUGUGAUCUAACCAUGAUACAACCGCAUGUGAACCUAAGUUUGACCAUAAACACUGAUGUCUGUCUGAAUGGCUACAGUGCCCUUCCAGAUACCUGUUGCUAAUAUCAAAUCAAAGGGACAGAAAGAAGCAGAGAAAGAGAUCAGGUAUUGGCUGAUGCACUCCCCAAAUUCUGCCACAUUCAGGGAGAACCAGAACACACCUAGGAGCCAAGAACUCAAUCCAGGAUGUUCGUUUUGGGUAGCACGAACACUCAGUCAUCAUUUGAUGUUACCCAUGUUUGUAUUAACAGAAUGUGUCAGAAGCAGAAUUAGGAUUCAAACUUGGGA
Molecule: long non-coding RNA, 811 nt
Organism: Ochotona princeps (American pika)
Lineage: Eukaryota; Metazoa; Chordata; Mammalia; Lagomorpha; Ochotonidae
Exons: 3
Source: RefSeq, a predicted model, not a curated record